UACGUAAGGACCCGAGCGUUGUCCGGAAUCAUUGGGCGUAAAGGGUACGUAGGCGGGUCAUUAAGUUAGAAGUCAAAGGCUAUAGCUCAACUAUAGUAAGCUUCUAAAACUGGAGACCUUGAGUAAUGGAAGGGAAAGUGGAAUUCCUAGUGUAGCGGUGGAAUGCGCAGAUAUUAGGAGGAAUACCGGUGGCGGAGGCGACUUUCUGGCCAUUAACUGACGCUGAGGUACGAAAGCGUGGGUAGCAAACAGGAUUAGAAACCCUAGUAGU
This 271-nucleotide ribosomal RNA is filed under the name uncultured bacterium. RNAcentral's name for it is "partial 16S ribosomal RNA". It matches the Rfam family "Bacterial small subunit ribosomal RNA", at positions 524 to 794 of the family's 1533-position model. The record is from RNAcentral.